RNAcentral lists this transfer RNA (91 nucleotides) under Culturomica sp. RNAcentral's name for it is "tRNA-Ser". It matches the Rfam family "tRNA". From Rfam's summary of the family: Transfer RNA (tRNA) molecules are approximately 80 nucleotides in length. Their secondary structure includes four short double-helical elements and three loops (D, anti-codon, and T loops). Further hydrogen bonds mediate the characteristic L-shaped molecular structure. tRNAs have two regions of fundamental functional importance: the anti-codon, which is responsible for specific mRNA codon recognition, and the 3' end, to which the tRNAs corresponding amino acid is attached (by aminoacyl-tRNA synthetases). tRNAs cope with the degeneracy of the genetic code in two manners: having more than one tRNA (with a specific anti-codon) for a particular amino acid; and 'wobble' base-pairing, i.e. permitting non-standard base-pairing at the 3rd anti-codon position. Lineage: Bacteria; Pseudomonadati; Bacteroidota; Bacteroidia; Bacteroidales; Odoribacteraceae. The record is from RNAcentral.
GGAAAGAUGCAGGAGUGGCUGAACUGGCUCGCCUGGAAAGCGGGUAAACCCCAAAAGGGUUUCGGGGGUUCGAAUCCCCCUCUUUCCGCCA